RNAcentral lists this ribosomal RNA (544 nucleotides) under uncultured bacterium. Its description in RNAcentral is "partial 16S ribosomal RNA". It matches the Rfam family "Bacterial small subunit ribosomal RNA", at positions 355 to 887 of the family's 1533-position model. The record is from RNAcentral.
UAGGGAAUCUUCCACAAUGGACGCAAGUCUGAUGGAGCAACGCCGCGUGAGUGAAGAAGGUUUUCGGGCACGUAAAGCUCUGUUGUUGGUGAAGAAGGAUAGAGGUAGUAACUGGCCUUUAUUUGACGGUAAUCAACCAGAAAGUCACGGCUAACUACGUGCCAGCAGCCGCGGUAAUACGUAGGUGGCAAGCGUUGUCCGGAUUUAUUGGGCGUAAAGCGAGCGCAGGCGGAAGAAUAAGUCUGAUGUGAAAGCCCUCGGCUUAACCGAGGAAUUGCAUCGGAAACUGUUUUCUUGAGUGCAGAAGAGGAGAGUAGAACUCCAUGUGUAGCGGUGGAAUGCGUAGAUAUAUGGAAGAAUACCAGUGGCGAAGGCGGCUCUCUGGUCUGCAACUGACGCUGAGGCUCGAAAAGCAUGGGUAGCGAACAGGAUUAGAUACCCUGGUAGUCCAUGCCGUAAAACGAUGAGUGCUAAGUGUUGGGAGGCUUCCGCCUCUCAGUGCUGCAGCUAACGCAUUAAGCACUCCGCCUGGGGGAGUACGACC